RNAcentral lists this ribosomal RNA (301 nucleotides) under uncultured bacterium. RNAcentral describes it as "partial 16S ribosomal RNA". It matches the Rfam family "Bacterial small subunit ribosomal RNA", at positions 509 to 807 of the family's 1533-position model. The record is from RNAcentral.
CAGUAGCCGCGGGAACACGGAGGGGGCUAGCGUUGUUCGGAAUUACUGGGCGUAAAGCGCACGUAGGCGGCUUGGUAAGUUAGAGGUGAAAGCCCGGAGCUCAACUCCGGAAUUGCCUUUAAGACUGCCGAGCUAGCAGGUGAGAGAGGUAAGUGGAAUUCCGAGUGUAGAGGUGAAAUUCGUAGAUAUUCGGAAGAACACCAGUGGCGAAGGCGGCUUACUGGCUCAUACUGGACGCUGAGGUGCGAAAGCGUGGGGAGCAAACAGGAUUAGAUACCCCGGUAGUCCCUGUCUCUUAUAC